AUUCUACUCCCUCUGUUGCACAAUACAUGCCUUCUAUUUGUCAAAAUAUAUAUGUAUCUGGACAUGUUUUAGUAUAUAGGUACAUCCAUUUUUGGACAAAUGGAAGUCAAGUAUGUUGGAAUGGAGGGAGUACACA
Triticum aestivum (bread wheat) is the source of this 136-nucleotide non-coding RNA. Lineage: Eukaryota; Viridiplantae; Streptophyta; Magnoliopsida; Poales; Poaceae. The record is from Rfam.